This 664-nucleotide long non-coding RNA is filed under the name Rattus norvegicus (Norway rat). RNAcentral's name for it is "hypothetical protein LOC689316, transcript variant 2 (LOC689316)". The record is from RNAcentral. Lineage: Eukaryota; Metazoa; Chordata; Mammalia; Rodentia; Muridae.
GGAGCGAGCACGCCAGCGCGAGUAUGGAGGACGCCUCUUAACGUUUGCUGAAUAUGGCGGCGUCCAGAGUCCGUUAUAGAGAAAGAGUUUGUUUAUAUAAUGGAUUACCUUGGUGGAUUUUCAUAUAUUGAACCAUCCCUGCAUUCCUGGAAUGAAGCCUACUUGAUCAUGGUGGAUGAAGUUUUUGAUGUGUUCCUAGACUUGGUUUGUUGAGGUGAACGGCCACAAGAAAAUAGCGGGAGAAAGAAGAACGUCAUGUGGGCCGUACUUCCCCAUGUCUGGUGCGUCUUUGGGGUGACCUCACAAGGAGUCGUCAUAGGAACCUGUUCAUACAAGGCACUGGCUCCAGCUGGCUUUGUGCUUAUACCUGAGAGAACUGUUGGUUGCUUGGAAAGAAGUUGGACUUGGAUAGACGUUGAUAAACUUGGGCUUCCCUGAUCAGUUGGACCUUGACAUAGUACGUUUACUGGCUCUUUGAUUUUUGAUGGGGCCGUUUUGCUUGAUUCUGUUGUCUUUGAGACUCUAAUUCCUGGGCUGGCCUGAAACCAUGUAGACCAGAUUGGCCUGGAGCUUGCUAUGUAGAGCAGGCUGGUCCAGAGUUCACAGUUCUCCCUUUGCCCUGCUUCUGGAGUAAUGGGAUUAAAGAUAGGCGUCACUUUGCCCA